Long non-coding RNA from Acinonyx jubatus (cheetah), 7862 nucleotides. RefSeq lists it as uncharacterized. Lineage: Eukaryota; Metazoa; Chordata; Mammalia; Carnivora; Felidae. The record is from RefSeq and is a predicted model, not a curated record. The transcript is spliced from 2 exons.
UCUUCGUGAGUUCCUGAAGUACAGAUACUACAUAGGUAGUGAGUAUGAAGUUUGUAUCUUUAGGUGGGCAAAGAUGUUUUCUAAUAACUUGGCUUAAUCCAGGAGACACUGUGUCCUCUCUUUAGAAGAAAAAUACCAACUUGUCAAUUCAAAGGAAUUUAUUCCAAUUGUUUUCCUCACUCCCUCUUUCCUGUACUGUAGGUGAGCUCAGUUUCUGCAGGUGGGGAUGGGUGUGGUUUUGAAUAUCUUGGCACUGGGGGAGGAGUAUUUGGGCUGAAGACCAUCCUUUGCCUUCUCAGCUCCCGCUUGCAUUGGGGACUUGGACAUGAGUCUCUGUUGAUUCCCUGGGCUUUGCUCUGGCUUCUGAAGGUCCAGCUGUGCGGCGUGUUUUUGCUUUCCUUGGAAAAAUGGGAAAUGAAGGUUGACACGAAUUGCUGAGUACUGAAAUGAAGUCCCACAAGAAUUAAGGCUCCUCAUGACAAUUCUUGGUGUUAGGGAAUUGCUCUUUUGGAAGAUGGUAUAAAUUAUAUCUCAAGUCCCUUCUAAGGGAAAUAUUUCUGUUUGAAUGAACAACUUAUUCAUGUUUGGGGGACACUACUCAGCAUAGGAGCUAAAACAAUACACCUUGAAAAAUUUUUUCAAUUUAAAAUAAUUUAUUAAGUAUUUUAUAACAGACAGAGUGAAAAAUCCCAUUGGGAAGAGUUCUGGAAUCUUUAACAUGUGAAAAGAUGUGUGUAAGAUAAUGAUAAAUAAAAUAUCUCAUCAGGUUGUCAACAGAGAUUUUUGUCUCCACCAUUUCUCUUGCAGAAGCGAUUCCAUAUGUGACUGUGUUUUCAAAUCCGCAUUCGUUAGCUUUGGCAGCCACACCCAGUGUGUCACGUGGAGCUCUAUCCAAUGAAUGCUGAAAAACUGCUCGCACUCAGAAUACUGCCCGAAGUUCAUUAAUUUGCCUGUGAUUUUCCUUGCAUCCAGCCCAGAGAAGUUGCUGACAUAAACAGAUUUAAAAAAACUUCGUAGAACUUUAUGUUGAACUAAACUCCUAGCUUCUAAAUGGACUGGUCCUGACCUGUACGACAUUUAUGAACUUGUAGAUAGCAGAACGUAUCUUCUAAAAAGUAAUUAGAAAGUUUAUGAAUUUAUUAAAGUUAUAUUCUUUGAGCUUUAACCUUAUUAUGAAAAGGCAUCUCAUUACUACAGCGAAGAGAUUUUCAGACAGCAAUAUUGGGAGUGCGAAAAUAAUUCAGUUUAGGGAGAAAUGAUUGCUUCAACAUUUAACCAGAUAUGGAUUGAACCAUAUAUGUUCCAUAUAUGGAACAACGUGGGCUUUGGAGUCAGACAGUCUUGGUUUUGAACAUUGUACACAGCCAUUCAUUCCAUCCCUUAUUCAUUCUAUAGUAUUUAACUGAUACCCAGUUACUGGGGACACAGUGGUAAACAAAACAGGCGUUUUACUGCCUCUGUGGACCUCAUAGUCUAGUGGGGGAAGUAGAUAGGAAAUAAAUGAUCGUAUAAUUAAAUAAUAGUUACAACUGGUGAUUACAUGAAGGCUAAGUGCUGGGUGCCAUGAAAUCAAAUACCACAAGGAGUAGUUUAGAUUGAGGCUCGGAAGGCCAAUUGGAGGACUGGAAGCCGGCCAUAAUGUGGUUGGGUAGAGCGAACCAGAGUAAGAGAGGUUGAGGGAGAAGGGUAGGGAGGGGGAGGAGAGGAGCCAGAAAAAUGAAGCUGUAAGGUUUGAUCAAAAUUUUUAUCCUUUUUGAAUCUAAAUUUAUUUUUUAUAGAAUGUGGAUAGUAGUAACUGCUUCAUGUAAUUGCUCUCGGAAUUAUGUAGCAUUAUACUUAAGUAAUGCUUAAUACAGACCUAGCAUAAUAAGUAUUUACUACCUAGUGGCUGUAAAUAUUAAUAAUAAUACCCUUCUGGAGUUUAAAUUCAGGUGUGGUGAUAAUAUCCACCUUAAAAAUGGAAAUAAGAGGGGCUGGUAGUUGCUUAAAGAGCUUCAGGGAAAAGUUCCACAUUUAUGCUAAUUUUAGAAAUGAGUUGUUUAUUACAGUCACAACUGAGGGAAAAAGGAAAACAAAACAUCUCAAUGUUUUCUAAUUAAUGAGUGAAUUUAAGUGACAUAUCAGCGAGGUUACAGAAUAUAGAUACUGAAGUUAUAGAUAGUUGAUUAAUGUAAUUUCCUGUAAUAUACAUCUAGUAUAUAAAAGCUUGAGAUCAAGCUUGGCUGUUUCUCAGGGCCUGACAAGCUUCUGAAGGCAGGAUGAGUUAAAGAAAUAAUUGCAGACUUAGUAGUUAAGAUAUUUUCAUAACAAGAUUCAGAAAGAUUACAAAUUAAGUAGGAACGGACCUUCAUCCUAACAAGGAUUAACACAUAAUUUUGGUUCCUUCAAGAUAAGCAUUUAAAAAUAUUUUAUACUUUUAUCCUUAUCUAAUAAUAUGUGGAUGGAUAAUUCAUGGCCUUUCCUCCCCAGUGUAUCUUGGUCAACUAUCUCCUCUUAUCUCCAGCUUCUUCUAAAGCUCAUGUCUCUGUUCUAGGUUGGUCUCUAGCCAAGGCUAAUUUAAAAAAAUAAGAGAUUUACUACUUUCUAUUUUUACAAGAAGUGAGUGAAAUUCCACCUAAACUUCUUCUAAGGGGCCAUUGUUUAGCCCUAGUAAAGUGUUAUUAUAAAUCAGUAAAUAAGUUCAUCUAGGUAUUUUUUUUGUAUUUUUAUUUAAUUCAUUUUUUAAAAAUUUGCAUCCAAGUUAGUUAGCAUAUAGUGCAACAAUGAUUUCAGGAGUAGAUUCCUUAAUGCUCUUACCCAUUUAGCCCACCUCCACUCCCACAACCCCUCCAGUAACCCUCUGUUCUCCAUAUGUAAGAGUCUCUUAUGUUUCAUCCCCCUCCCUGUUUUUAUGUUAUUUUUGCUUCCCUUCCCUUAUGUUCAUCUGUUUUGUUUCUUAAAAUCUUCAUGUGAAUGAAGUCAUAUGAUAAUUGUCUUUCUCUGACUAAUUUCACUUAGCAUAAUACCCUCUAGUUCCAUCCACGUAGUUGCAAAUGGCAAGAUUUCAUUCUUUUUGAUUGCUGACUAAUACUCCAUUGUAAUAUAUAUACCACCUCUUCUUUAUCCAUUCAUCCAUCGAUGGACAUUUGGGCUCUUUCCAUACUUCGGCUAUUGUUGAUAGUGCUGCUAUGAACAUGGGGGUGCAUGUGUCCCUUUGAAACAGCAUACCUGUAUCCCUUGGAUAAAUAUCUAGUAGUACAAUUGCUGGGUCAUAGGGUAGUUCUAUUUUUAAUUUUUCAAGGAACCUCCAUACUGUUGUCUAGAGUGGCUGCACCAGUUUGCAUUCCCACCAGCAGUGCAAAAGAGAUCCUCUUUCUCCACAUCCUCGCCAACAUCUGUCGUUGCCUGAGUUGUUAAUGUUAGCUGUUCUGACAGGUGUGAGAUGGUAUUCUCAUUGUGGUUUUGAUUUGUAUUUCCCUGAUGAUGAGUGAUGUUGAGCAUUUUUUCAUGUGUCUGUUGGCCCUCUGAAUGUCUUCUUUGGAGAAGUGUCUUUUCAUGUCUUUUGCCCAUUUCUUCACUGGAUUAUUUGUUUUUUUGGGUGUUGAGUUUGAUAAGUUCUCUAUAGAUUUUGGAUACUAACCCUUUAUCUGAUAUGUCAUUUGCAAAUAUCUUCUCCCAUCCUGUCAGUUGCCUUUUAGUUUUGCUGAUUGUUCCCUUUGCUGUGCAGAAGUUUUUAUUUUGAUGAGAUCCCAAUAGUUCAUUUUUGCUUUUGUUUCCCUUGCCUCUGGAGACGUGUUGAGUAAGAAGUUGCGGUAGUCAAGGUCAAAGAGGUUUUUGCCUGCUUUCUCCUCGAGGAUUUUGAUGGCUUCCUGUCUUACAUUUAGGUCUCUCAUCCAUUUUGAGUUUAUUUUUGUGUCUGGUGUAAGAAAGUGGUCCAGGUUCAUUUUUCUGCAUGUUGCCGUCCAGUUUUCCCAGCACCACUUGCUGAAGAGACUGUCUUUAUUCUAUUGGAUCUUCUUUCCUGCUUUGUCAAAGAUUAGUUGCCCAUGUGUUUGUGGGUCCAUUUCUGGGUUCUCUGUUCCAUUGAUCUGAGUGUCUGUUCUUAUGCCAGUACCAUACUGUCUUGAUGAUUACAGCUUGAAGUCCGGGAUUGUGAUGCCUCCUGCUUUGAUUUUCCUUUUCCAAGAUUGUUUUGACUAUUUGGGGUCUUUUCUGGUUCCAUACAAAUUUUAGGAUUGUUUGUUCUAGCUCUGUGAAGAAUGCUGGUGUUAUUUUGAUAGGUAUUGCAUGGAAUAUGCAGAUUGCUUUGGGUAGGAUUGACAUUUUAACAACAUGGAGCAUGGAAUAUUUUUCCAUUUUUUGGUGUCUUCAAUUUCUUUCAUAAGCUUCCUAUAGUUUUCAGUGUAUAGAUUUUUCACCUCUUUGGCUAGAUUUAUUCCUAGGUAUUUUAUGGUUUCUGGUGUCAUCUAGGUAUUUUUAUGUUUGAUAGGCUACCCUUAAAGAUGUGAACAAAGAGAAGAAGCCUUGCCUUUCUCUUUGUCCGUUUACUCCUCCAUCCAUUCAUUUAUUCAACAGAUAUUGAGUAGUUAUCCAUUCAGUAGACGUUUAUGGAGGUGUUCAUCAUAUCCUAGGAAAGGUACAUGGUGCUAGGGAUACAAAUAUAAUUGAUUUCUAGAUUCUGCCUUGAAACCCACAACCUUGUAGCCAAAUCAUUCAUUCAUUCAUUUAUUAAUACUGUAUAUGUAUUUCACAAGUGCCUACUCUGUGCCUGGCACUGUUGUAGACACUGGGGACACAGUGCUGAAAAACAGACAUAGGGUCUGCCCUGGUGGAGCUUUUAUUCAAGUGGUGUACCGAAAAAUGAGUGUAGAAGGUAAGGGCUCUGUUCCCCAAACUGGCCUGGUGGCUGUGUGGGGUGCACAAAAUUAUUUAGGAGAGUUUUAGGAAGAAAAUAUUUCAAUUUUUAUUUAUCUUAAUCUCAUUUUACUUUAUUUAUAUUUUGUGUAUAUUUGGUAAUGUACUUAAUCUGUAUAGUACUUUAUAUCAUUUAUGUGUAAUAAAUAUUUAAAUUUGUUCCAUCAGUUCAUACUGAUAGGUUGCAUAAACAAAAACAUUUGCAGACCCCCGGAGGAAGGCAUGGAUUUAGCAUUAGAUAGCCUUACAAGUUUGAAGUCAGUUUCCAUCACUCGCUAUUUGUGGGUCCUUGGGCAGGCCAGAGCUCUUGCAUCCUUUGCCAGAAGUGUUGUCAGGAUUGACUGCAAUAGUGUUAGUGGAGUGCUCAUAUUGUGUCUGUUUAUAUCAAGUCCUCAACAAAGUGAUAACUGAUGUUACCAUUGUUAUUAUUCAUGUGAUAAAUAAAUGCAGGCAUCUUCAAAGUGAUACAGAAACAUCCGAGAAGGAACUAGUUAAGCUGUCACCCUAGAGCCAUGAAACUAUUAUAAUAGAUAAUUGCUGGGAAUAUAAGUUGGUGCUACUUGUACGCAAUAUGUACCCAAAUCCUUAAAUUUGUAAUUUAUAUUGACCCAAUUAUUUUCCUUCCAGGAAUUUAUCCUAAGGGAACAAUCAGAAAUUCUAACAGAUUUAUAAUAGUGACAGAUAGGAGAGAGAACUAAAUGCCCAUAUAAAAAAUAGUCAGGUUUAAUUACAACUUUAUGAUGGAAUAUUGUGCAGCUUUUAGUAUUUUUAUUUUUUAUUUACCUUUUUAAUGUUUUAUUUAUUUUUGAGAGAGACAGAGUGUGAGCAGGGGAAGGGAAGAGAGAAAGGGAGACACAGAAUCGGAAGCAGGCUCCAGGCUCUGAGCCGUCAGCACAGAGCCCGAUGUAGGGCUCGAACCCACGGACCAGACCAUGAGAUCAUGACCUGAGCUGAAGUCAGACACUUACCUGACUGAGCCACCCAGGUACCCCCAGCUUUUAAUAUUUUUAAAGAAUAUUUGGGGAAACAUUAAUAUUUAGUGAUGGAUGUAGGAUACAAAAUUACAGUUUUAGUGUAAUCCCAAUUACAUUUUUUUUUUUUAAAGCACACAGUUUAAUUAAAUGGUGUUGGGAAAACUAGACAGCUACAUGCAAAGGAAUGAAACCAGACCACUUUCUUACACCAUACACAAAAAUAAACUCCAAAUGGAUAAAAGACCUACAGGUAAGACUUGAAUCCAUAAAACUUCUAAAAGUAAACAUAGGUAGUAAUCUCUUGAACAUCGGCCUUAGCUACAUAUUUAUGGAUAUGUCUCUGCAGGCACAAGAAACAAAAGCAAAAAUAAACUAUUGAGCUUAACACCAGAUUAAGCUCUCGUACAGCAAAGGAAACUAACAAAAUGAAAAAGCAACCUACUAAAAGGGAGAAGAUAUUUUUAAAUGACAUAGUGGUUAAAAGGUUAGCAUCCAAAAUAUAUAAAGAACUUAUACACCUCAACACCAAAAAAACAAAUAAUCUAAUUAAGAAAUGGGCAGAAGACAUACAGAUAUUUCUCCAAAGAAGACACACAGAUGGCCAACAGACACAUGAAAAGAUGCUCAACAUCACUUUUCAUCAGGGAACUGCAAAUCAAAACUACAAGAAGAUCACCUCACACCUGUCGAAUGGCUAAAAUAAAAAAUACAAAAAACCCACAAGUGUUAGCAAGGAUGUGGAGCAAAGGAAACUCUCUUGUACUGUUGGUGGGAAUAUAAAUUGGUACAGCCACUGUGGAAAACAGUAUGAAGGUUACUCAAGAAAUUAAAAAUAGAACUACCCUAUGACCUAGGAAUCACACUACUGGGUAUUUACCCAAAGAAUACAAAAACACGAAUUCAAAAGGAUAUAUGCACCCCUGUGUUUAUUGCAGCAUUAUUUAUAAUAGCCAAAUUAUAGAAGCAGCCUGUUUCUAUUGAUAGAUGAAUGGAUAAAGAAGAUGUGGUACAUGUAAAGUGGGAUAUUAUUCAGCCAUCAAAAAGAAUGAAAUCUUGACACUUGCAACAAUAUAGACGGAGCUAGAAAAUAUAGCACUAAGUAUGUCAGAGAAAAACAGAUACCUUAUGAUUUCACUCAUAUGUGGAAUUUAAGAAACAAAAAAAAAAGACAAUCCAAAAAAGUCUCUUAAUUACAGAGAACAAACAGAUGGUCACCAGAGGGUAGGUGAGUGGGGGAUGGGGAUGGGUGAAAUGGGUGAAGGGCAUUAACCGAACACUUAUUGUGGAGCGCCUGGCUGGCUCAGUUGGUGGAGCAUGUGACUCCUGAUCUCAGGUUGUGAGGUCAAGCCCCACAUUGAGUGUAGAGAUCACUUAAAAUUAAAAUCUAAAACAAACACAAAAAAGAGUAUACCAGGAGCACCUGGGUGGCUCAGUCAGUUAAAUGUCCGACUUUGGCUCAGGUCAUGAUCUCACGGUUCGUGAGUUCAAACUCUGCAUCGGGCUCUCUGCUGUCAGUGCAGGGCUUGCUUUGGAUCCUCUGUCCCCCUCUCUCUGCUUCUCCCCACUCUCUCUUUCUCUCUCUGCCCCUCCCUAGCUCACAUGCACUCCCUCUCUCUUUCUCAAAGACGAAUAAACAUUAAAACAUUUUUUUGAACAUUUAUUCAUUUUUGAGAGUGAGAGAGACAGAGCAUGAGUAGGGCAGGGGCAGAGAGAGGGAGACACAGAAUCCAAAGCAGGCUUCAGGCUCCGAGCUGUCAGCAAAGAGCCUGAUGUGGGGCUUGAACGCAUUAACUGUGAGAUCAUGACUUGAGCUGAAGUUGGAUGCUUAACUGACUGAGCCACCAGGCGCCCCAAAUAAACAUUUUUCAAAAAAUUAAAAAAAAGUGUACUUACCAUGGUGAGCAUUGAGUAAUGUAUAGAAUUGUUGAAUCACUAUAUUGUACACUUGAAACUAAUAUAAUACUGUCUAUUAACUAUACUGGAAUAAAAAAUAAA